CGGGGUGAGUAACGCGUGGGUAACCUGCCUUGUACAGGGGGAUAACAGUUGGAAACGGCUGCUAAUACCGCAUAAGCGCACGGCAUCGCAUGAUGCAGUGUGAAAAACUCCGGUGGUAUAAGAUGGACCCGCGCUGGAUUAGCUAGUUGGUGAGGUAACGGCCCACCAAGGCGACGAUCCAUAGCCGACCUGAGAGGGUGACCGGCCACAUUGGGACUGAGACACGGCCCAA
This 232-nucleotide ribosomal RNA is filed under the name uncultured bacterium. RNAcentral's name for it is "partial 16S ribosomal RNA". It matches the Rfam family "Bacterial small subunit ribosomal RNA", at positions 104 to 334 of the family's 1533-position model. The record is from RNAcentral.